RNAcentral lists this ribosomal RNA (1101 nucleotides) under Rhodococcus sp. SBUG 176. Its description in RNAcentral is "partial 16S ribosomal RNA". Lineage: Bacteria; Bacillati; Actinomycetota; Actinomycetes; Mycobacteriales; Nocardiaceae. The record is from RNAcentral.
GACUUUCAUGACGUGACGGGCGGUGUGUACAAGGCCCGGGAACGUAUUCACCGCAGCGUUGCUGAUCUGCGAUUACUAGCGACUCCGACUUCACGGGGUCGAGUUGCAGACCCCGAUCCGAACUGAGACCGGCUUUAAGGGAUUCGCUCCACCUCACGGUAUCGCAGCCCUCUGUACCGACCAUUGUAGCAUGUGUGAAGCCCUGGACAUAAGGGGCAUGAUGACUUGACGUCGUCCCCACCUUCCUCCGAGUUGACCCCGGCAGUCUCCUGCGAGUCCCCACCAUCACGUGCUGGCAACACAGGACAAGGGUUGCGCUCGUUGCGGGACUUAACCCAACAUCUCACGACACGAGCUGACGACAGCCAUGCACCACCUGUCUACCGGCCACAAGGGAAACCACAUCUCUGCAGUCGUCCGGUACAUGUCAAACCCAGGUAAGGUUCUUCGCGUUGCAUCGAAUUAAUCCACAUGCUCCGCCGCUUGUGCGGGCCCCCGUCAAUUCCUUUGAGUUUUAGCCUUGCGGCCGUACUCCCCAGGCGGGGCGCUUAAUGCGUUGGCUACGGCACGGAUCCCGUGGAAGGAAACCCACACCUAGCGCCCACCGUUUACGGCGUGGACUACCAGGGUAUCUAAUCCUGUUCGCUACCCACGCUUUCGCUCCUCAGCGUCAGUUACUGCCCAGAGACCCGCCUUCGCCACCGGUGUUCCUCCUGAUAUCUGCGCAUUUCACCGCUACACCAGGAAUUCCAGUCUCCCCUGCAGUACUCGAGUCUGCCCGUAUCGCCUGCAAGCCCGCAGUUGAGCUGCGGGAUUUCACAGACGACGCGACAAACCGCCUACGAGCUCUUUACGCCCAGUAAUUCCGGACAACGCUCGCACACUACGUAUUACCGCGGCUGCUGGCACGUAGUUGGCCGGUGCUUCUUCUCCCACUACCGUCACUUGCGCUUCGUCAUGGGUGGAAAAAGGUUUACAACCCAAAAGGCCGUCAUCCCUCACGCCGGCGUGCCUGCAUCAGGCUUGCGCCCAUUGUGCAAUAUUCCCACUGGCUGCCUCCCGUAAGAAUCUGGGGCCGGUGCUCAAUCCCAAUGUGGGCGG